Molecule: ribosomal RNA, 680 nt
Filed under: uncultured Clostridium sp.
Lineage: Bacteria; Bacillati; Bacillota; Clostridia; Eubacteriales; Clostridiaceae
Description: bacterial SSU rRNA
Rfam family: Bacterial small subunit ribosomal RNA
Source: RNAcentral
AGUCGAACGAUGAAACUUUAAUGAACCCUUCGGGGAGAAUUAAAGCGGAUUAGUGGCGAACGGGUGAGUAACGCGUGAGUAACCUGCCUUACACAAGGGGAUCGCCUUUGGAAACGAAGAAUAAUACCCUAUAAAACCAUAAAAGCACAUGCAAUUAUGGUCAAAGUGAUAGCGGUGUAAGAUGGACUUGCGUCUGAUUAGCUAGUUGGUGAGAUAAAAGCCCACCAAGGCAACGAUCAGUAGCCGGCUUGAGAGAGUGUACGGCCACAUUGGGACUGAGACACGGCCCAGACUCCUACGGGAGGCAGCAGUGGGGAAUUUUGCACAAUGGGGGAAACCCUGAUGCAGCGACGCCGCGUGAUUUAGAAGGCCUUCGGGUUGUAAAAAUCUUUUGUAUAGGAAGAAAAUGACAGUACUAUACGAAUAAGGUCCGGCUAAUUACGUGCCAGCAGCCGCGGUAAUACGUAAGGACCGAGCGUUGUCCGGAAUCAUUGGGCGUAAAGGGUACGUAGGCGGCUAGAAAAGUUAGAAGUCAAAGGCUAUAGCUCAACUAUAGUAAGCUUCUAAAACUAUUUAGCUUGAGAGAUGGAAGGGAAAGUGGAAUUCCUAGUGUAGCGGUGGAAUGCGCAGAUAUUAGGAGGAAUACCGGUGGCGAAGGCGACUUUCUGGCCAUUUUCUGA